RNAcentral lists this small RNA (808 nucleotides) under uncultured Psiloglonium. Its description in RNAcentral is "eukaryotic LSU rRNA". The stretch from base 526 to 808 matches the Rfam family "Eukaryotic large subunit ribosomal RNA", at positions 1 to 281 of the family's 3401-position model. Lineage: Eukaryota; Fungi; Ascomycota; Dothideomycetes; Hysteriales; Hysteriaceae. The record is from RNAcentral.
CUUGGUCAUUUAGAGGAAGUAAAAGUCGUAACAAGGUUUCCGUAGGUGAACCUGCGGAAGGAUCAUUACCUAGAGUUUGUAGACUUCGGUCUGCUACCUCUUACCCAUGUCUUUUGAGUACCUUCGUUUCCUCGGCGGGUCCGCCCGCCGAUUGGACAACAUUCAAACCCUUUGCAGUUGCAAUCAGCGUCUGAAAAAACAUAAUAGUUACAACUUUCAACAACGGAUCUCUUGGUUCUGGCAUCGAUGAAGAACGCAGCGAAAUGCGAUAAGUAGUGUGAAUUGCAGAAUUCAGUGAAUCAUCGAAUCUUUGAACGCACAUUGCGCCCCUUGGUAUUCCAUGGGGCAUGCCUGUUCGAGCGUCAUUUGUACCUUCAAGCUCUGCUUGGUGUUGGGUGUUUGUCUCGCCUCUGCGUGUAGACUCGCCUUAAAACAAUUGGCGGCCGGCGUAUUGAUUUCGGAGCGCAGUACAUCUCGCGCUUUGCACUCACAACGACGACGUCCAAAAGUACAUUUUUACACUCUUGACCUCGGAUCAGGUAGGGAUACCCGCUGAACUUAAGCAUAUCAAUAAGCGGAGGAAAAGAAACCAACAGGGAUUGCCCUAGUAACGGCGAGUGAAGCGGCAACAGCUCAAAUUUGAAAUCUGGCGUCUUUGGCGUCCGAGUUGUAAUUUGCAGAGGGCGCUUUGGCAUUGGCAGCGGUCCAAGUUCCUUGGAACAGGACGUCACAGAGGGUGAGAAUCCCGUACGUGGUCGCUAGCCUUUACCGUGUAAAGCCCCUUCGACGAGUCGAGUUGUUUGGGAAU